ACAAAGGCUCUUUUCAGAGCCCCUUACAAAGUCAUAAAGAAGAGA
Molecule: non-coding RNA, 45 nt
Organism: Dipodomys ordii (Ord's kangaroo rat)
Lineage: Eukaryota; Metazoa; Chordata; Mammalia; Rodentia; Heteromyidae
Source: Rfam